GACGAACGCUGGCGGCGUGCUUAACACAUGCAAGUCGAACGGAAAGGCCCUGCUUGCAGGGUACUCGAGUGGCGAACGGGUGAGUAACACGUGGGUGAUCUGCCCUGCACUUCGGGAUAAGCCUGGGAAACUGGGUCUAAUACCGGAUAGGAGCCAUUUUUAGUGUGAUGGUUGGAAAGUUUUUUCGGUGUAGGAUGAGCUCGCGGCCUAUAAGCUUGUUGGUGGGGUAAUGGCCUACCAAGGCGGCGACGGGUAGCCGGCCUGAGAGGGUGGACGGCCACAUUGGGACUGAGAUGCGGCCCAGACUCCUACGGGAGGAAGCAGUGGGGAAGAUUGCACAAUGGGCGCAAGCCGGAUGCAGCGACGCCGCGUGUGGGAUGACGGCCUUCGGGUUGAAAACUCCUUUCGCUAGGGACGAAGCUUUUUGUGACGGUACCUAGAGAAGAAGUACCGGCUAACUACGUG
RNAcentral lists this ribosomal RNA (465 nucleotides) under uncultured bacterium. Its description in RNAcentral is "partial 16S ribosomal RNA". It matches the Rfam family "Bacterial small subunit ribosomal RNA", at positions 28 to 507 of the family's 1533-position model. The record is from RNAcentral.